RNAcentral lists this ribosomal RNA (620 nucleotides) under uncultured bacterium. RNAcentral describes it as "bacterial SSU rRNA". It matches the Rfam family "Bacterial small subunit ribosomal RNA", at positions 232 to 860 of the family's 1533-position model. The record is from RNAcentral.
CGCGGCCUAUCAGCUUGUUGGUGGGGUAAUGGCCUACCAAGGCGGCGACGGGUAGCCGGCCUGAGAGGGUGGACGGCCACAUUGGGACUGAGAUACGGCCCAGACUCCUACGGGAGGCAGCAGUGGGGAAUAUUGCACAAUGGGCGCAAGCCUGAUGCAGCGACGCCGCGUGGGGGAUGACGGCCUUCGGGUUGUAAACUCCUUUCGCUAGGGACGAAGCUUUUUGUGACGGUACCUAGAUAAGAAGCACCGGCUAACUACGUGCCAGCAGCCGCGGUAAUACGUAGGGUGCGAGCGUUGUCCGGAAUUACUGGGCGUAAAGGGCUCGUAGGUGGUUUGUCGCGUCGUCUGUGAAAUUCCGGGGCUUAACUCCGGGCGUGCAGGCGAUACGGGCAUAACUUGAGCACUGUAGGGGUAACUGGAAUUCCUGGUGUAGCGGUGAAAUGCGCAGAUAUCAGGAGGAACACCGAUGGCGAAGGCAGGUUACUGGGCAGCUACUGACGCUGAGGAGCGAAAGCAUGGGUAGCGAACAGGAUUAGAUACCCUGGUAGUCCAUGCCGUAAACGGUGGGCGCUAGGUGUGAGGGUCUUUUCACGACUUUCGUGCCGUAGCUAACGCAU